RNAcentral lists this ribosomal RNA (305 nucleotides) under uncultured bacterium. Its description in RNAcentral is "bacterial SSU rRNA". It matches the Rfam family "Bacterial small subunit ribosomal RNA", at positions 334 to 656 of the family's 1533-position model. The record is from RNAcentral.
UGUUCCUACGGGAGGCAGCAGUGGGGAAUAUUGCACAAUGGGGGAAACCCUGAUGCAGCGACGCCGCGUGAGUGAAGAAGUAUUUCGGUAUGUAAAGCUCUAUCAGCAGGGAAGAAAAUGACGGUACCUGACUAAGAAGCCCCGGCUAACUACGUGCCAGCAGCCGCGGUAAUACGUAGGGGGCAAGCGUUAUCCGGAUUUACUGGGUGUAAAGGGAGCGUAGACGGCGAAGCAAGUCUGAUGUGAAAGGCAGGGGCUCAACCCCUGGACUGCAUUGGAAACUGUUUUGCUAGAGUGCCGGAGAG